CCUACGGGUGGCAGCAGUGAGGAAUAUUGGUCAAUGGGCGCGAGCCUGAACCAGCCAAGUAGCGUGAAGGAUGACUGCCCUACGGGUUGUAAACUUCUUUUAUAAAGGAAUAAAGUGAGGCACGUGUGCCUUUUUGCAUGUACUUUAUGAAUAAGGAUCGGCUAACUCCGUGCCAGCAGCCGCGGUAAUACGGAGGAUCCGAGCGUUAUCCGGAUUUAUUGGGUUUAAAGGGUGCGUAGAUGGUUUUUUAAGUCAGUGGUGAAAGUUUGCGGCUCAACCAUAAAAUUGCAAUUGAAGCUGGCAGUCUUGAGUACAGUUGAGGUAGGCGGAAUUCGUGGUGUAGCGGCGAAAUGCUUAGAUAUCACGAAGAACUCCGAUUGCGAAGGCAGCUUACUAAGCUGCCACUGACAUUGAUGCUCGAAAGUGUGGGUAUCAAACAGGAUUAGAUACCCCGGUAGUC
RNAcentral lists this ribosomal RNA (460 nucleotides) under uncultured bacterium. RNAcentral's name for it is "partial 16S ribosomal RNA". It matches the Rfam family "Bacterial small subunit ribosomal RNA", at positions 338 to 795 of the family's 1533-position model. The record is from RNAcentral.